CAACCUAGCCAACAGAAAACGGAAUAUGGUAUCAUUAUUUCAACAAGCAUAUCUUAAAAAUGCGUUGCUUAGAGAAGUUCCCAAUUGCUGGUCAAUAUGUCCACAAGCCACAAUGGCACACAGUAAUUGAUAGAAUUCGGACUUUCCCCGAGAAAAUUGAAUUUCGUCUAGUGAAUUGAUAUAGCUAACCAAGGCGGCUAUUACAGGUUGGAAUGCAGCAACUCCCUUUACAGGGUUAUCACCAAUUACCCUUUGAAAACCAUGAAGUACCAAUUGCGAUGCAAGAUAAAUUUUUUUCUGAAAAACAUCCAUUAAAUCGUUAUAUUCUUCUGUAUCAUGGGAAUCCGACUUCAAAGAAGACAUACAUUCAAAUGCGGUAUAAAAAUAUAGCUUAGCACAUAAGGCUUCUUGGCUUAAAAGAUUGGGCAUGUGCUCCACAAUGCCCGAGGAUAAGAUUUUAGCGCGUAUUUCAAAAUCCGAAUUAAAAGAUUCAGCAAAUUCCCAAGAUUGCUUUAAGAUAUCCAGCAAUUUUACCAUUUUUCUUUUCGGAAUAUUGGUAAGCAUAUUGUCAGAAUGAAAUAAUUCCCAUAGGCAGUUAAGCAUCAAAAGUUGUAAUGUGCACUUUACAACAAUACUUUUCAAAUGGUGCUUUUUUGAUUUAAAGACGCUCUGGCUAUUAAACCUUGAUAUUUCAUGUGGACGAAAACUAUUUUCUUUGACAUCCUCAAGAGAACUAUCAGAAUUGACUUGAGGAUACAAUGAAGGAUCACGAAGUUCUAUCGGAAGAGUCAUUUGAAGCAGCUGAUUUAUCGAGUUAAUUAUUUCAUCCCAGUCCACGUCUUUAAAUUGAUUCUUAUUCUUGAGGACAAAUUGAGAAAAACAACUAAGUCCCACUUUUGAUAUCAUACUGUUUUCUUGGCAAAUACAUUUUUCCAGUAAAUUCAGCGCCUUAGGAAGCAAAAAAUGAAGGCGCUCAAACAAGUUUUUAAUUAAUUCAAUAAAAGCUUUUAGUGCUUCAACCAUUGUUGUUAGCAUCCAUACUUCAGUCUCUUCAGUGUUCUUUGCUAAAUACAAACGUUGGGAAUUAGUAAUGGACAAAAUAGAAAAUAUUGAGAGCAAAGCUUUAUUGGAAACGGUUUCCCAAAAUUCUUCGUCAAAGUCAUCAGCGUGUCGAUAAAGACAAUCGAAUAAAACCUUCAAGGCUUUAGAUCGCACCUCUAAAUCUGACGCCUCGCAGAUGAUUUCAUUAAAUGACAGCAAAAACGGAAGCCAGUACUCUUCUUCUAGUUUUUUUGAAUAUACACUCUCUUUUUUCAUGUGCUUCAAAUGCUUAAUUAACUCAUGCUCCAAAUUUUUAAGCAUAUCCACACAACUCAGACAGAACUUUUGAUUGCCAUUAAGUUUAGCAAACUUAGUUAUACAAGAUAUCAGAUCAAUAUAAGCCCCUUGUGUAAGGACGCAGCUGAUAUGUUCAUGGCCCAAAGAUGAUACAACAGAUAUUGCGCACUGCAAAACCAAAAGAUUUUCAAUUUUAGAAGCGUAGGCGAGAAUAUGGAAUAUGGUUCUCCAUCCAGAACGUAUGUUUUGGUAUCUGGCUUUGAUCAUUUGAUCAAUACAACGUAAGACAAGGUCUUUAAUCUUAAGGUCCUGCGAAUUUUCCAUAGCAUGUGAAAAUGGCUGUAAGAAGUCCUUCUGAAAUUUAAAGUGAGAGAGCUCUUCAAUUUCUAAAAACUGCAUAGAAAAUUGUCUCAAGGAAUCUAAAGCAAAAGAUGCUAUUAUUGAGUUUUCAUGACAGCUGACUUGGGUAAAAUAAGUACCUAACAAAGACCAAAUACUGGACCAUUCCAUACGGAUACGACGCAUAUUAUAAUAUGAUAUUUCAACCAACUUUUGUAAACUGAAUAACCUCGGAUUAGAAAGUUCCAAAGAACACUCUAUUUCUUCCCAAGAGACCUCAAUUAAUGCUUUUACAAAAUCGUAGAUUCCUUCACUACCAAGGUUUCGAGUGUUUGAGAAGAGCAUAUCAACAGCCAUUACAACUUCACGAGAACUAUAUUCUCUGACGAUUUCAACUGAGCUAGAUUUAGUGGAGUGAGUGGAGGCAGAUUGAAAACUUUUAGAAUGUUUUAACGAAAUGCUUCCACUUCGAGACUGUCGUAUAUUCUUAUCUAAAGAUUUGCGCAAUGGUUUGGUAGUACUUACAUCUGGUAAAGAAUUUAUGUCGACACCAGCAGAUAUUAGUUGGACACGUUCCAACUGACUUAUACAUAAAAGCACGUCUUUCCAAGAGUCUCUCAACUUAUCUCCAUGAGCUAGUGAAAUUUCAAGUAGGGUUUUCAAAGCGUGCAUAUUCGUCCAUUUUAACUCGGACGUAUUAUUCAAAUGAGUAAACUUAGUCAAAGUUUGCAUGAAAGCAUUUCUAGGUAAAUCCAUUGAGAAAAAGAAAAUGACGUUCAUGGCCAACCGAAAUCCAUCAAGUGAAAGUUGAAUCAAUGCUGGAUCAGAGGAGAGUUGCAAUGGUUCAGAGAAUGCCGCGAGAAUUGGCAUCCAAACAGCUUCAAACAUCGGACAAACAUGCUCAAAGUGCCUAGCAGUAUAAUAAAUAUCAUUUCCUGAAAGUUUUCCUCUUUCACGUUGUUCACGAAUUAAAUCUUUAAACAACGCUUCGGUCUUGUUGGCCAUCUUAUUGGAAGCCAUAUAGUAUGCUUCCCUUUGCAAAUCUCUUCCAACCGUCGCCAAUGCAUUACUUAUGUUAGCAGCAAAGCUAAGAUUACUAGUCCCGGGUAUUUCUGGAAAGUUGGAAGUAGGAUCUUGCUCAUCUUUCAAAACAAUUUCGUUUUUUUGGAUUUCCUCAUAUACCUCAGUCAAAAACGAAUCGCUCAGAUUAGCACCAUCAUCCACACCUCUGUUAUUUUUAAUAAAAU
RNAcentral lists this long non-coding RNA (2924 nucleotides) under Schizosaccharomyces pombe (fission yeast). The record is from RNAcentral. Lineage: Eukaryota; Fungi; Ascomycota; Schizosaccharomycetes; Schizosaccharomycetales; Schizosaccharomycetaceae.